GACACAAAACUUAAUUUAAUAGAAAUUUUGUUUGUAGUUCUUACAUUCUCAGUGUGACCUGAGCUGGAACCCACUGCCCCACCCAGAAGUGGCCCAGUCCUGGGAGCAGGGGAGGAAGGGAGGUGGUGAGUAGGGGUCAGAGCUCAGGCCCUAGGAGCCCUGUUCUUCCUCAGUGCUGGGGGGCUGGGGAUGCCACCCUCUUCUCCUGCCCCCCUUUGGGAUCCAGGAAGGAGAGCAGAUGGAGUCUCGGGCCUGGGGCUUCUCUUCUACAUUCCCCUGCCCCCUCAGGUUGGAGGGGAACUAAGGGAUCUGGGGAGAGAAGGGGACAGAAGAAGGCAAAGAUGUCAAUCAAGAAAGAAGAGGAUCAGGAAUAAGGACUAAGGAGAAUCAAAGACAAA
RNAcentral lists this long non-coding RNA (398 nucleotides) under Lynx pardinus (Iberian lynx). The record is from RNAcentral. Lineage: Eukaryota; Metazoa; Chordata; Mammalia; Carnivora; Felidae.